This 496-nucleotide ribosomal RNA is filed under the name uncultured bacterium. RNAcentral's name for it is "partial 16S ribosomal RNA". It matches the Rfam family "Bacterial small subunit ribosomal RNA", at positions 29 to 507 of the family's 1533-position model. The record is from RNAcentral.
AAUGAACGCUGGCGGCGUGCCUAAUACAUGCAAGUCGAGCGAACGGACGAGAAGCUUGCUUCUCUGAUGUUAGCGGCGGACGGUGAGUAACACGUGGAUAACCUACCUAUAAGACUGGGAUAACUUCGGGAAACCGGAGCUAAUUACGGAUAAUAUUUUGAACCGCAUGGUUCAAAAGUGAAAGACGGUCUUGCUGUCACUUAUAGAUGGAUCCGCGCUGCAUUAGCUAGUUGGUAAGGUAACGGCUUACCAAGGCAACGAUGCAUAGCCGACCUGAGAGGGUGAUCGGCCACACUGGAACUGAGACACGGUCCAGACUCCUACGGGAGGCAGCAGUAGGGAAUCUUCCGCAAUGGGCGAAAGCCUGACGGAGCAACGCCGCGUGAGUGAUGAAGGUCUUCGGAUCGUAAAACUCUGUUAUUAGGGAAGAACAUAUGUGUAAGUAACUGUGCACAUCUUGACGGUACCUAAUCAGAAAGCCACGGCUAACUACGUG